UACGAAGGGUGCAAGCGUUACUCGGAAUUACUGGGCGUAAAGCGUGCGUAGGUGGUUUGUUAAGUCUGCUGUGAAAGCCCCGGGCUCAACCUGGGAAUGGCAGUGGAUACUGGCAAGCUAGAGUGCGGUAGAGGGUAGUGGAAUUCCCGGUGUAGCGGUGAAAUGCGUAGAGAUGUGGAGGAACACCGAUGGCGAAGGCAGCCUUCUGGGCCAACACUGACGCUCAUGCACGAAAGCGUGGGGAGCAAACAGG
Molecule: ribosomal RNA, 253 nt
Filed under: uncultured bacterium
Lineage: Bacteria
Description: partial 16S ribosomal RNA
Rfam family: Bacterial small subunit ribosomal RNA
Source: RNAcentral